AAAAGGUUUUUACCACAUAUGCAAGUCUAAACUCUUGUUUUGCUACUUGCUGAGCAAAACAAUGAGUUAUAAAUAGUGAAAUGAGACCUCCUAGUCCUACCCCAUUAUCAGAAGCCCAUUGGGCUGAAGAGCCUAAAGAGCCUAAAGAGACUAAAGAGUCUAACCACGUCCAAAGAGAUAAGUAUCAUGGCCACAGUCAUGGUAAAUGGAAUGAACGUGGUAGAAGUGGCAAUUAUAAUUUAUAUGAUCAAGGAAACCAUUCAUAUGGUUAAGGCC
RNAcentral lists this long non-coding RNA (276 nucleotides) under Arabidopsis lyrata. RNAcentral describes it as "long non-coding RNA (ALYR_LNC001088)". The record is from RNAcentral. Lineage: Eukaryota; Viridiplantae; Streptophyta; Magnoliopsida; Brassicales; Brassicaceae.